RNAcentral lists this ribosomal RNA (500 nucleotides) under uncultured bacterium. RNAcentral's name for it is "partial 16S ribosomal RNA". It matches the Rfam family "Bacterial small subunit ribosomal RNA", at positions 30 to 523 of the family's 1533-position model. The record is from RNAcentral.
AUUGAACGCUGGCGGCAUGCCUUACACAUGCAAGUCGAACGGCAGCACGGGAGCAAUCCUGGUGGCGAGUGGCGAACGGGUGAGUAAUAUAUCGGAACGUGCCCAGUCGUGGGGGAUAACGCAGCGAAAGCUGUGCUAAUACCGCAUACGAUCUACGGAUGAAAGCGGGGGAUCGCAAGACCUCGCGCGAUUGGAGCGGCCGAUAUCAGAUUAGCUAGUUGGUGAGGUAAAGGCUAACCAAGGCGACGACCUGUAGCUGGUCUGAGAGGACGACCAGCCACACUGGAACUGAGACACGGGCCAGACUCCUACGGGAGGCAGCAGUGGGGAAUUUUGGACAAUGGGCGAAAGCCUGAUCCAGCAAUGCCGCGUGCAGGAUGAAGGCCUUCGGGUUGUAAACUGCUUUUGUACGGAACGAAACGGUGAGCUCUAAUACAGUUUGCUAAUGACGGUACCGUAAGAAUAAGCACCGGCUAACUACGUGCCAGCCGCCGCGGUAA